This 253-nucleotide ribosomal RNA is filed under the name uncultured bacterium. RNAcentral describes it as "partial 16S ribosomal RNA". It matches the Rfam family "Bacterial small subunit ribosomal RNA", at positions 524 to 776 of the family's 1533-position model. The record is from RNAcentral.
UACGGGGGGGGCAAGCGUUGUUCGGAAUUACUGGGCGUAAAGGGCUCGUAGGCGGCCAACUAAGUCCGACGUGAAAUCCCCAGGCUUAACCUGGGAACUGCGUCGGAUACUGGAUGGCUUGAAUUCGGGAGAGGGAUGCAGAAUUCCCGGUGUAGCGGUGAAAUGCGUAGAGAUCGGGAGGAACACCAGCGGCGAAGGCGGCAAACUGGAUAGGCACUGACACUCAACAACGAAAGCGUGGGGAGCAAACAGG